RNAcentral lists this ribosomal RNA (460 nucleotides) under uncultured bacterium. Its description in RNAcentral is "partial 16S ribosomal RNA". It matches the Rfam family "Bacterial small subunit ribosomal RNA", at positions 338 to 795 of the family's 1533-position model. The record is from RNAcentral.
CCUACGGGAGACAGCAGUGAGGAAUAUUGGUCAAUGGACGAGAGUCUGAACCAGCCAAGUAGCGUGAAGGAUGACUGCCCUAUGGGUUGUAAACUUCUUUUAUAUGGGAAUAAAAUGUUCCACGUGUGGGAUUUUGUAUGUACCAUAUGAAUAAGGAUCGGCUAACUCCGUGCCAGCAGCCGCGGUAAUACGGAGGAUCCGAGCGUUAUCCGGAUUUAUUGGGUGUAAAGGGAGCGUAGGUGGAUUGUUAAGUCAGUUGUGAAAGUUUGCGGCUCAACCGUAAAAUUGCAGUUGAAACUGGCAGUCUUGAGUACAGUAGAGGUGGGCGGAAUUCGUGGUGUAGCGGUGAAAUGCUUAGAUAUCACGAAGAACUCCGAUUGCGAAGGCAGUUCACUGGACUGCAACUGACACUGAGGCUCGAAAGUGUGGGUAUCAAACAGGAUUAGAUACCCCAGUAGUC